CACCAGCCCCCCGAGUGGUGGGGAUGAUUAUUUGGCCUAAAGCGUCCGUAGCCGGCCCGGUAAAUCUCUCGUUAAAUCCAGCGUCCCAAGCGUUGGGCUGCGAGGGAGACUGCCAGGCUAGAGGGUGGGAGAGGUCAGCGGUAUUCCUGGGGUAGGGGCGAAAUCCAUUGAUCCCAGGAGGACCACCAGUGGCGAAGGCUGCUGACUAGAACACGCCUGACGGUGGGGGACGAAAGCUGGGGUAGCGAAUCGGAUUAGAUACCCGAGUAGUCCCAGCCGUAAACGAUGCAGGCUAGGUGUUGGGGCGGCCACGCGCCGCCUCAGUGCCACAGGGAAGCCAUUAAGCCUGCCGCCUGGGGAGUACGGCCGCAAGGCUGAAACUUAAAGGAAUUGGCGGGGAGCACCACCAGGCGUGAAGCCUGCGGUUU
RNAcentral lists this ribosomal RNA (428 nucleotides) under uncultured archaeon. RNAcentral's name for it is "bacterial SSU rRNA". It matches the Rfam family "Archaeal small subunit ribosomal RNA", at positions 474 to 903 of the family's 1478-position model. The record is from RNAcentral.